This 468-nucleotide ribosomal RNA is filed under the name uncultured bacterium. RNAcentral's name for it is "partial 16S ribosomal RNA". It matches the Rfam family "Bacterial small subunit ribosomal RNA", at positions 28 to 507 of the family's 1533-position model. The record is from RNAcentral.
GACGAACGCUGGCGGCGUGCUUAACACAUGCAAGUCGAACGGAAAGGCCCUGCUUUUGUGGGGUGCUCGAGUGGCGAACGGGUGAGUAACACGUGAGUAACCUGCCCUUGACUUUGGGAUAACUUCAGGAAACUGGGGCUAAUACCGGAUAGGAGCGCCUGCUGCAUGGUGGGGGUUGGAAAGUUUCGGCGGUUGGGGAUGGACUCGCGGCUUAUCAGCUUGUUGGUGGGGUAGUGGCUUACCAAGGCUUUGACGGGUAGCCGGCCUGGGAGGGUGACCGGCCUCCUUGGGCCUGCGGUACGGCCCAGACUCCUACGGGAGGCAGCAGUGGGGAAUAUUGCACAAUGGGCGGAAGCCUGAUGCAGCAACGCCGCGUGCGUGAUGCCGGCUUUCGGGUUGUAAACCGCUUUCGCCUGUGACGAAGCGUGAGUGACGGUAAUGGGUAAAGAAGCACCGGCUAACUACGUG